This 288-nucleotide long non-coding RNA is filed under the name Daucus carota (carrot). RNAcentral describes it as "long non-coding RNA (DCAR_LNC007673)". Lineage: Eukaryota; Viridiplantae; Streptophyta; Magnoliopsida; Apiales; Apiaceae. The record is from RNAcentral.
UCAAACUUCCCCAUACCUAUAUUUUGCUCGUCCUCGAGUAAAAUCAAAAGAAAAGAAAAUAAACUAUGAAAACUAGAUGCGAUUCCUAGGCUCCUUUUCGUAGGCAUGACAGAUGAUUUUAGGUUCACCAACCCGUUAAACUCGUAGACGAUCUCUACAAGAGGAGUUUUGUCUCCUAAGGGUUUACAGAAGAUAUACCCAUAAAAUCUUCGAGACCUUCUAGCAAGUGUCUACUCGACUCUACUCUAAUUUCGUUGGUGUUAACAAAAAGUGUUUUUAAGGAAAAUA